UAUCUCUGUAGAGUCUGCAUAUCAAUAAGCGGAGGAAAAGAAACUAACAAGGAUUCCCUUAGUAACGGCGAGUGAAGCGGGAAGAGCUCAAAUUUGAAAUCUUCAAGGUUUUACCUUGACGAAUUGUAGUUUAAAGAAGUGUUUUCUGUUGAAGUUUCGGUAAAAGUUCUUUGGAAUAGGACAUCAUAGAGGGUGAGAAUCCCGUAUUUGACCGUUAUUUUCAGCUGUGUGAUACACUUUCAAAGAGUCGGAUUGUUUGGGAAUGCAGUCCAAAAUGGGUGGUAAAUUUCAUCUAAAGCUAAAUAUUGGCGAGAGACCGAUAGCGAACAAGUACCGUGAGGGAAAGAUGAAAAGAACUUUGAAAAGAGAGUUAAACAGUACGUGAAAUUGUCAAAAGGGAAGCGUUUGACACCAGUGUUGUUUUCUCGAAAAUCGAUUAAAAAUGGCUUGAUUUUGUGUUGUAUUGACCUUAAAAGCUUUCUUCACUUUUUUCAUGUCUUUUUUAAUGCACUUUUCGUUUAACAAGUCAACAUCAGUUUCUUUUGUUGUAAAAAGGGUCAUUGGAAGGUGGCUUUCACUUUCGGAUGAAAGUGUUUAUAGCCUUUGACUUCUGCAAUCGGAGAGACUGAGGUCUGCAGCGUAGAUCCUUCUGGAUUAGAUUCAUUUGUGCUAAGUUACAACCGUUUAUAGACAACUUGUUGACUAUAUUCGAUCCUGUAGCUUACUCGCUUAUGUAAUUUUACCUACGCUUAGGAUGUUGAUCUGUAGUGCGUGCGC
RNAcentral lists this ribosomal RNA (777 nucleotides) under uncultured Neocallimastigales. RNAcentral describes it as "partial large subunit ribosomal RNA". It matches the Rfam family "Eukaryotic large subunit ribosomal RNA", at positions 24 to 625 of the family's 3401-position model. The record is from RNAcentral. Lineage: Eukaryota; Fungi; Neocallimastigomycota; Neocallimastigomycetes; Neocallimastigales.